Molecule: ribosomal RNA, 446 nt
Filed under: uncultured bacterium
Lineage: Bacteria
Description: partial 16S ribosomal RNA
Rfam family: Bacterial small subunit ribosomal RNA
Source: RNAcentral
CCUACGGGUGGCAGCAGUCGAGAAUCAUUCACAAUGGGGGAAACCCUGAUGGUGCGACGCCGCGUGGGGGAAUGAAGGUCUUCGGAUUGUAAACCCCUGUCAUGUGGGAGCAAAUUAAAAAGAUAGUACCACAAGAGGAAGAGACGGCUAACGUUGUGCCAGCAGCCGCGGUAAUACAGAGGUCUCAAGCGUUGUGCGGAAUCACUGGGCGUAAAGCGUGCGGAGGCUGUUUAGUAAGUCGGGUGUGAAAGGUGCGGGGUCAACCCGCGGAAGGCACAUGAUACUGCGAGACUAGAGUAUUGAAGGGGGAACCGGAAUACGCGGUGUAGCAGUGAAAUGCGUAGAUAUCGAGAGGAACACUCGUGGCGAAGGCGGGUUCCUAGACAUUAACUGACGCUGAGGCACGAAGGCCAGGGGAGCGAAAGGGAUUAGAUACCCGAGUAGUC